This 403-nucleotide ribosomal RNA is filed under the name Fusobacteriota bacterium. Its description in RNAcentral is "Fusobacteria bacterium partial 16S ribosomal RNA". It matches the Rfam family "Bacterial small subunit ribosomal RNA", at positions 355 to 776 of the family's 1533-position model. Lineage: Bacteria; Fusobacteriati; Fusobacteriota. The record is from RNAcentral.
UGGGGAAUAUUGCACAAUGGGGGAAACCCUGAUGCAGCGACGCCGCGUGAGCGAAGAAGGUUUUCGAAUCGUAAAGCUCUGUCCUAUGGGAAGAUAAUGACGGUACCAUAGGAGGAAGCCCCGGCUAACUACGUGCCAGCAGCCGCGGUAAUACGUAGGGGGCAAGCGUUGUCCGGAAUCACUGGGCGUAAAGGGUUCGCAGGCGGAAAUGCAAGUCAGUUGUGAAAGGCAGAGGCUCAACCUCUGUAAGCAAUUGAAACUGUAUUUCUUGAGAUGUGGAGAGGCAAGUGGAAUUCCUAGUGUAGCAGUGAAAUGCGUAGAUAUUAGGAAGAAUACCGGUGGCGAAGGCGACUUGCUGGACACAAACUGACGCUGAGGAACGAAAGCGUGGGUAGCAAACAGG